Molecule: ribosomal RNA, 387 nt
Filed under: uncultured microorganism
Description: bacterial SSU rRNA
Rfam family: Archaeal small subunit ribosomal RNA
Source: RNAcentral
GCGCACCAGGCGCGAAAACUUUACAAUGUGCGAAAGCACGAUAAGGGAACUCUGAGUGCCUCCUAAGGAGGCUGUUCAGGUGUCUAAAAAGCACCUGAAGGAAGGGCUGGGUAAGACCGGUGCCAGCCGCCGCGGUAACACCGGCAGCCCAAGUGGUAGCCACGUUUAUUGGGUCUAAAGCGUCCGUAGCCGGCUGGGUAAGUUCCUUGGGAAAUUUGGCUGCUUAACAGUCAAGCUUUUCAGGGAAUACUGCCCCGGCUUGGGACCGGGAGAGGUCAGAGGUACUCCAGGGGUAGGGGUGAAAUCCAUUAAUCCUUGGGGGGCCACCGGUAGCGAAGGCGUCUGACCAGACCGGGUCCGACGGUGAGGGACGAAGGCCUAGGGGGC